Molecule: small nuclear RNA, 103 nt
Organism: Mustela putorius furo (domestic ferret)
Lineage: Eukaryota; Metazoa; Chordata; Mammalia; Carnivora; Mustelidae
Source: Ensembl
GUCCUCACUUUGGUGGACAUACAUGAAAAUCAGAAUGCGACAGAGAUGAGCAUGGCCCCUGCGCAAGGCUAACACCCAGACUGGUGAAGCCUUCCAGAUUUUC